AUUAGAUCAUUACUAUAAUAUUAAAUUUUUUAGAUCUGAAUCUUAAUCAUAUCAUCACAUGCAUCAUUAAUUUCAGAUCUACAAAAAUAAAGAAAUCUACUCAAAAUAUAUGCAUGAUUGCAUAGAAAAAUUCUGGUUUGAAUAUGAUCAAAUAUAUGCAGAUACUUUGCUCAUUUCAGAUCUAAAACUCUAUCAAACAGAUUUAGAUCUG
RNAcentral lists this long non-coding RNA (211 nucleotides) under Elaeis guineensis (African oil palm). RNAcentral describes it as "long non-coding RNA (EGUI_LNC037377)". Lineage: Eukaryota; Viridiplantae; Streptophyta; Magnoliopsida; Arecales; Arecaceae. The record is from RNAcentral.